GUGAAUCAUCAAAUUUUUGAACGCAAAUUGCACUUUCUGGUAUUCCGGAGAGUAUGCCUGUUUGAGGGUCAGUUUAUUAAAAAUCGGUGUUGCUGGUGCUCUUCCUGGUGACGCGACGGAAUUUAGUUGUCUUACCUUCGGUUAAGUGACUUAAAAUUUUGUAUUGUUUUUGUACGUAUUUAUAUUUCUUAUGUACGGUUUAUUUAUCGAAUA
Molecule: unclassified non-coding RNA, 213 nt
Filed under: Glomeraceae sp.
Lineage: Eukaryota; Fungi; Glomeromycota; Glomeromycetes; Glomerales; Glomeraceae
Description: partial contains 5.8S ribosomal RNA and internal transcribed spacer 2
Rfam family: 5.8S ribosomal RNA (bases 1-71)
Source: RNAcentral